RNA transcript from Ostrea edulis (European flat oyster), 3162 nucleotides. RefSeq lists it as uncharacterized. Lineage: Eukaryota; Metazoa; Mollusca; Bivalvia; Ostreida; Ostreidae. The record is from RefSeq and is a predicted model, not a curated record. The transcript is spliced from 7 exons.
UUGAAAAAUAUAAUGAUGACAACCAGAAAGUCAAAUUUGUAGCUCAUCUAAGUUAAGGGCUGUAAUUGAGAUAUUCUGAUUAAAUUUGUCUGUUGUCAGGGCUUGAAACUAACUUUUUAUGUCAUCAGUCCAGUCUGACUGAUGGGGUAUAAUUUCAACCAGUCCGUAGAAAAUUUACCAGUCCACCAGAAUUUUCCAGAAAUAAAUAAAAAUUUUGUGAAUGUUAUUAAAAUGAAAUAUGUAAUUUAACUUAAUAUGCCUCAGACAAUAUCGUAAUACUUAUGUGAGAUUUAUAUUACGCCUGAUAUCUACAGAGGAAUGCCAGAUGCGCAUUUAAGAUUCAUAAGAAUAUUUUCCAGAAUGACGUUUUAAAAAAUUGACAAGUAACAGACUGACGGGCAUAUGUUGAUUUUGAGUCCUUGUUGUCAGUCUAUUUGUUGACUUUCACAUGUUCAACUUCUUCAAAAUCGCAGGCCAGUUUCAAGCACACAUACCACAGAGUACUCUUUGGUAUGUACUAUGAAUGUUUUUCAAACUGUAGUUUGAAUGAAGGUCCUGGCAUCUUCAGGUGAAAGAAUUGAAAUUUUGUUUUGAGAAUUAUGUUCGAGUAAUUCUGGAAUGAGUUAAUAAAAGGCCACGAAUUACCGAGCAAACUUGACACUCUUUGAAAUGCAUUGAACAUGACAUGACCAGUAGUGACAGUGGAUAGUUGUCAUGCAUUUUUGUGCAAGAAUGGGCUUGGUCAUUAUUGUCAGUUUUUAUUUUUUUUUUGGAUCAAAUGCAGUCAAGAUUCAUUAAUACAUGAAUUCUGGUAUGUGGGACACAUCAAACACAAAUUUGUAUACUUAAGAAUAUAGAAGCGCACAUAAUUAAUGUGUGAGUGUGUACACACACACACCCACUUAUAUAAAUCAUACUCAAAUGGUCAACAACAACAAAUUAAUAUAUUGUUAAAUUUUCGACAUAACAUGUCCCUUUCCUCAACUAUUUCCGAUAUUAAAGUCAUAAAAGAAAAGUAAUAAACUUGUAUAUAUAGUUAAUUGGACCAAUAGUGUUGAAUAUAUUUCCGUCUCCCACAUACAGAUGCUCUUGGCAUGUCUUUGUCAAAUACAGUGACUAAUAUAGAUAUUGUAUUUCAUUGACAUUUUAAUGGCAUCAAACAAUCUGCAUUUUGACCACAAGAGUUUAAUGUUCGUGUCAUCAUUUUCAUCACCAACUUGUUAUGAAAAAGUGCUGCAUCAUAAUUUCAUCACCAUGAUUGUUCAUUUGUAAGGUUGAAGUAUUUGAAUGCAUGUACUGUUUAGAGAAGGGAAUCAAAUCAUCAUAGAUCAACAUAUUCAUCAACAUUCAGAUUCACCUUCAACAGCAGAAAAAAUUCUUCACGAUUCCAUUUUUGAUCGAUUCAAGACAGAAAAUGAAUUUACAUUUCCUCAAAAAUCAGAUCUAAUUGCUUUCAUUUUAAACAGUACAACAAAAGGGGAAAUUAUUAAUUAUUUAUUUGAUGACAUAAAAUUCAGGUCAGAAGUUGUAAAGAAAAUUUGCAAAGACAUAGAUUUGAAUGCUUCUUCUAAAUGUACCAGAAGUGCAGACAGCUAUCUUUUUUGUAAAAGUUAUGAAAAUCUUAAGAAUUUUACCUUUCAGGAUGUUAUCUUAGAAAUGAGCCAAUGUCAACCAGAUCUCCUAAAGUUUUUAUUGGCUGUUGCAGUACCCAGUAACCGCAUUGGAAAAUCUCUCUCUCCCCUUCUCCCUAAAUUUAGCAUUAUCUAUAGUAUACUUAUGUCUUCAAGAUUUCAUGAGUUAUCCCGACUGCAGCGAGUGAUAAGCACUGCUUUGAUGGAGGAACAGGUUCAUGAGAAGGUCUUUGACAGACUUCAGAAAUGUGGUAUUUCAACAUCAGCAGAUGUAUGCUCCAGACUAUUAGAUGAAAUUGGGGGCCAUUUCAAUAAUGAGAUAAUUUCUUUAAUUCAUGGUGGAAAACAGUUUCGAUUCAUUGGGGAUAAUGUUAAUUUUACUGUUGGUGUUAAGAGUGAGAGACAAGAUGCAAAACCACAAGUUUGUAACUGGUUUGCAUCUUGUAUUAUCACUCAGCCACUCUCAUUUUCAGACUUGCCUGAUGUGUCACAGGGGAGGACAAGAGACCUCAACCUAUCUCAUUUCCUGCCAAAUGCAGAUGAUGAAAGGAAGUUGAAGAACGAUUACCAGGUUCUCAUUUCAAGAGUAGUCAAGGUCUUCCUUCCACAAUUGACCUUCCUUUAUGGGGGGCAACCGAAGCAUAUUAUAGAGGAAGCAACUUCAAAUGCAACAUCUAAAUAUUGCUGGAGAGCUUUAACAUUGGAGAAACACUCCAUAACAUCUGUGAUUGAAUCAAUUUUAUCUUGUAAGCAGUUCUUCAACUCCCCAGAGGGAUCGGCAUCAAUAUACUGCUGUAAAAGAUGCUUACACUGAUGUUGUUGAGCUAAGCUUGUAACUAAACUCUUUGAAGAUUGGUGACACUCAAUUUGGAGACAUGAAUAUUUUUCCCACAUGGGCUUGGACUAGACUGGAUAAGUCACUGUUGCAGUUAGAAAUAAGAAAUUGCACCGAAGAAGCGUUCUCAGGGAGCCUAUGUUCUGAAAGAUUGGACGAAACUCCUUCCCCCAAUCUAGUAUACAAUGGGCUUCAUCGACACACACAAUGACUUGCUCAUCUCUGUGGAUGAUAGAAGAAAGACAACUAAAUCCUCCCUUUGAAACGAUCACUUCUGGGUGACCAAAAAUGUACUUGACAUUUGAAAUGUGUUCUGCGCUAGCAAAGUCAUCUGAAAGCUUAAUAGCUAGAGAGCCUAACUUUUUAAUUUCCUGAUUGAUGAUAGCAUUUAAUGGGCUAAUAAUGACACAUUUUUGAAAUUUGCCCAAUUCCAUAGCAUAAAAUGGUGAAAGUUCAUAGAUUAGACUUUUUCCGUAUCCUGUUGGCAAGGUGACAAAAGUGUCUGUCUUUUGAAUGGAUUCCAAAGAGUCAACUUGAAAUGGCUUUAAAAAAUUCACACAGUUUCCUUUUGUUUUCAGGUUGAAAUUUUGAAUUGCUUUCUUUAGUGUGAUUGCUCUGUUUAAUGCCUCCAUCUAUAGAAAAUAAAUUCAUUUUGUAAAUAUUUGAUUGCAUAUGGAAUAAAUUUUUUGACUACAA